Molecule: ribosomal RNA, 1544 nt
Filed under: Salmonella enterica
Lineage: Bacteria; Pseudomonadati; Pseudomonadota; Gammaproteobacteria; Enterobacterales; Enterobacteriaceae
Also listed under: 1 other name
Description: partial 23S ribosomal RNA
Rfam family: Bacterial large subunit ribosomal RNA
Source: RNAcentral
CUGGAGGUAUCAGAAGUGCGAAUGCUGACAUAAGUAACGAUAAAGCGGGUGAAAAGCCCGCUCGCCGGAAGACCAAGGGUUCCUGUCCAACGUUAAUCGGGGCAGGGUGAGUCGACCCCUAAGGCGAGGCCGAAAGGCGUAGUCGAUGGGAAACGGGUUAAUAUUCCCGUACUUGGUGUUACUGCGAAGGGGGGACGGAGAAGGCUAUGUUGGCCGGGCGACGGUUGUCCCGGUUUAAGCGUGUAGGCUGGUUUUCCAGGCAAAUCCGGAAAAUCAAGGCUGAGGCGUGACGACGAGGCACUACGGUGCUGAAGCAACAAAUGCCCUGCUUCCAGGAAAAGCCUCUAAGCAUCAGGUAACAUCAAAUCGUACCCCAAACCGACACAGGUGGUCAGGUAGAGAAUACCAAGGCGCUUGAGAGAACUCGGGUGAAGGAACUAGGCAAAAUGGUGCCGUAACUUCGGGAGAAGGCACGCUGACACGUAGGUGAAGUGAUUUACUCAUGGAGCUGAAGUCAGUCGAAGAUACCAGCUGGCUGCAACUGUUUAUUAAAAACACAGCACUGUGCAAACACGAAAGUGGACGUAUACGGUGUGACGCCUGCCCGGUGCCGGAAGGUUAAUUGAUGGGGUCAGCGCAAGCGAAGCUCCUGAUCGAAGCCCCGGUAAACGGCGGCCGUAACUAUAACGGUCCUAAGGUAGCGAAAUUCCUUGUCGGGUAAGUUCCGACCUGCACGAAUGGCGUAAUGAUGGCCAGGCUGUCUCCACCCGAGACUCAGUGAAAUUGAACUCGCUGUGAAGAUGCAGUGUACCCGCGGCAAGACGGAAAGACCCCGUGAACCUUUACUAUAGCUUGACACUGAACAUUGAGCCUUGAUGUGUAGGAUAGGUGGGAGGCUUUGAAGUGUGGACGCCAGUCUGCAUGGAGCCGGCCUUGAAAUACCACCCUUUAAUGUUUGAUGUUCUAACGUGGACCCGUGAUCCGGGUUGCGGACAGUGUCUGGUGGGUAGUUUGACUGGGGCGGUCUCCUCCUAAAGAGUAACGGAGGAGCACGAAGGUUGGCUAAUCCUGGUCGGACAUCAGGAGGUUAGUGCAAUGGCAUAAGCCAGCUUGACUGCGAGCGUGACGGCGCGAGCAGGUGCGAAAGCAGGUCAUAGUGAUCCGGUGGUUCUGAAUGGAAGGGCCAUCGCUCAACGGAUAAAAGGUACUCCGGGGAUAACAGGCUGAUACCGCCCAAGAGUUCAUAUCGACGGCGGUGUUUGGCACCUCGAUGUCGGCUCAUCACAUCCUGGGGCUGAAGUAGGUCCCAAGGGUAUGGCUGUUCGCCAUUUAAAGUGGUACGCGAGCUGGGUUUAGAACGUCGUGAGACAGUUCGGUCCCUAUCUGCCGUGGGCGCUGGAGAACUGAGGGGGGCUGCUCCUAGUACGAGAGGACCGGAGUGGACGCAUCACUGGUGUUCGGGUUGUCAUGCCAAUGGCACUGCCCGGUAGCUAAAUGCGGAAGAGAUAAGUGCUGAAAGCAUCUAAGCACGAAACUUGCCCCGA